GAGGAAGUGAGCUGCCAUGUACUAGGCCACGUGGCAAGGGCCUGGUUGGGGACCUCCAGGGGUUGAGAGCAUCCUCUGGACAACAUGGAAAAAGAAAAUGAAAAUGGUGACCUCAGCCCUAUAGCUAGAAGGAAUUGAAUCCUGUCAACAACGAUACUCAUCACUCACUGCAGAUGUUACUUUAAGACAUUCUGGAGCAGCGUCAUGUGCAGUCAUGUGAAAGUAUAUUCCAAACCCAGAACCUGAGCACAGAUUGGGACUGAGAAACACUUGUCUAGAUUGUCAGGCAAUCUGUAACAUCAGCAGUGGAUGGAAAGAAGGAGAAAGAUGAGUUUUAUGGACGCUAACCCAUCUAUAUGGCUUUGGAAAAUAAAGUACUGCUGUUUUUUUUUGUAAAGGAUUUUUAUUUUUUAUCUUUACAUACAUCUCCCAUUAAAAGGUUAAGACAUUAGGGUUUUCUAUUUAUAACUUGACUUUUGUAUAUGCAAACACUGUUUUGGAAGAUCUUGAUGAUAAACUCAGCAGAUAUGAACCGGUCUGGUACUACAUGGUAGUAUAAGGUAUCUGAUUUCCAUCAGGGUAUGAUUACAAUGUAUACUUUAUAUCUAGAAUUAAUCUAAUCUAAUGUUUCUC
RNAcentral lists this long non-coding RNA (633 nucleotides) under Homo sapiens (human). RNAcentral's name for it is "HSALNT0325593". Lineage: Eukaryota; Metazoa; Chordata; Mammalia; Primates; Hominidae. The record is from RNAcentral.